Meleagris gallopavo (turkey) is the source of this 1026-nucleotide non-coding RNA. The record is from RefSeq and is a predicted model, not a curated record. Lineage: Eukaryota; Metazoa; Chordata; Aves; Galliformes; Phasianidae.
AAUGCUAAUCUUGUUUGUCAAACAGGUGAAUUGGGAUGGGAACUGUAUCAUAGAAAAGAAGACUCUGUAGCUCUUUACAAUGCAAUCAUGGAUGCUGGCCAAAAAGAGGGAAUUGACAACUUUGGAACAUAUGCUCUGAAUGCUUUAAGACUAGAAAAGGGUUUCCGAGCCUGGGGGGCAGAGAUGAACUGUGACACUAAUCCCUUGGAAGCUGGACUAGAAUAUUUUGUAAAGCUAAACAAGGUAUGUCCUAUUAUUUUCCAAAUGUUCCACUAUAUGCUAAGUUACCCUUUCCAGUAUUGGAAAAGAAAAAAUGUCAUUGUCUGCAAAAUAAAACAGGUAUUAGAAAAUAAGCUGAGCAACAUUUUUUACAGUAUACAGUAUUAAGUACAGAUUUAAAUAUAUAUAUAUUUUUUUCCAUGAUUCUUGAUAACAAAAGUAUAUACUACAUUGGGAACUUGCAAAUAUUACAUUUGAUGUUAUCUGUAUAAAAAAUGUCUAUCUGAAUUUGAUGUACUUCUUCUAGAGAAAUAUAUUAUAUGCUUUUUGAAAGCAUAUGUUAUGUAUGCACAAGCUGAACAAUUCCGUACAUAUCGUGAAAAUGUUUUACUUGCUUAGUCUUGUUCAAGGAAUUAUUUGUAGUAUCACCAUCUUUGCCUACUGCUUUGGUACAGGAAAUCAAUAGAUUUUUUAGAAGAACUGCUGAUUGAUAAUAAGGAUACAAGUAAAAUAUCAGUAUAUUAGUAUAUUUGUUAAGAAAAAAAAAAGUUUUUGAUAGAAUUUCUGAAGAGAUCCCUGCUCAUAAUUUGUUCCCAUCUGAAUUGCAGUUUAGAGAUAUGGGAUUAGUUGAACUUAAAUGUGUGAUAAAAGUGAAAACAUUAUCCUAUCUCUGUUUAUUAUUAUCCUCUUUUUCUUAUGACAUUAAUAUUUUAGAAAAUCAAAAUAUAUUAUUGUCUAAGAGAUACAGAAAUUGCUUGUAAUUUCCUAUUCCAAAUAAAUAAACAAGUGUUCAAACUUUUCAUGAAA